UUCACGGCCGUGCAAGAAAUCCUGUCAGUGAAUGGACCGCCAUCUGUGUAGGGAUGUAUUUUGGAGUGGACUGUGAUUGAAGAAGUGGGAUGGGUUUUCUUAGUUGACCUGUUUUAUUUUUUAUGAUGUCGUUUUCCCGCAAUGUUUUUUAAAGUUUCUUAUUCAAUACACCAGCCAGCUGGUGGCGAUAAUGAACCAUUAACAUUGGAUGACAACCGCCGCUAAACCCCAUCGAAUAAGAAGCAUGUGCUGUCGCGAAAUCAGGAUUGUCGAAUGACACUAAAGUACUGUAGCCUACUCCGGUUUACUUUUGUGUAUUAUAUUAUAGUCUACACAUCCAAGAGUCACUCUCAUUGAACAAAGACUCAAACGGCUAGUUGAAUCCAAGAAAAUGGUGGCUGUAUCGGUGAUUGCCAUGGCAGUUGGAACU
Long non-coding RNA from Coregonus clupeaformis (lake whitefish), 430 nucleotides. RefSeq lists it as uncharacterized. The transcript has 3 exons. The record is from RefSeq and is a predicted model, not a curated record. NCBI's taxonomy places the organism in Eukaryota, Metazoa, Chordata, Actinopteri, Salmoniformes, Salmonidae.